GGAGUCGGGGAAGCCGCGGUCGCCGCCGGGACCUGCAAGGGAAGUCUAAACCGGAGGUGGGGUUGCUCCGACAAGACCCUCCGAUGCUCAAGUCAGUUCUCUGCCUCAACAAGAAUGGAGUGCUCGAACGGAGAAUUUAGCAGAGUUUUGAGAUAAAAAAAUGAGCUUAGAGAAUAACGUAUCUGGGUCCCCCUUUUAUAGGCGGAGGGGGCAAUGGAUUGAUGGCGACAUUUGUAACCGUCUGGUAGUGGGCCGCCUAUGGUCAGAGGAAUUUAUUGCGAAGGGUAGUGGGGUAGACCCGUGGCUAUUGUCAUAGCCUGCCACGUAGGGCCUGUAGCAGGUAGUGGAGCGACGUCCGUUGCUAGCUGUCAGUGAGUAGUGGGAUCGUGCAGCACCUGCCGCAGGGAGCGGAGCAGAAUCGUGGCUGUUGAUACAGCCUGUCAGGGAGUGAUGGGUCCGCCGCUGGAGCCGCGUGGAAUCCGCUGCAGGACGUGGAACAAGAUCAUGGUUGUUAUCACGAUCUGCCAAGGGGCGCAGAUCCGUUGAUCGAGGUUCGGCCGCGGUCGGAGUCCGGCCUCUGUAGGAGUCUGUGAAGGGUCCUCCUUUCGGUUGGGGUUGUAGGUGGAGUCCGGCUCCCGUGGGAGUCCGGACGAAGCU
Molecule: long non-coding RNA, 657 nt
Filed under: Elaeis guineensis (African oil palm)
Lineage: Eukaryota; Viridiplantae; Streptophyta; Magnoliopsida; Arecales; Arecaceae
Description: long non-coding RNA (EGUI_LNC038352)
Source: RNAcentral